Molecule: long non-coding RNA, 692 nt
Organism: Saccostrea cuccullata (small rock oyster)
Lineage: Eukaryota; Metazoa; Mollusca; Bivalvia; Ostreida; Ostreidae
Exons: 5
Source: RefSeq, a predicted model, not a curated record
GCCCAUCCCACCAGAGGAUCCAAUGCCGUUACCAGGCAGCCUAACAGAGAAGCAUUUUGAAUUUAUUUCUUUCCUUCUGUCUCUUCUCUGUCUUCUGUGCACUUCCCUAAUCUAACAGCACUAACCAUCCCCUACCCCUUAACAUCGAUUUUGUUGUAAUUUCCUUGAAUUUGUGUGCUUUGUUUCAUUGUUUUGAAUUUUUACUAAUCUCGUCUCAGUUGUAUAUUUUCAGGCACUCGGACGUGGUACAACGCGGGAGCACCCAGCCAGCCUCCAGCCACCCAGCCAGCCACAGAUGAAGAGGAAGGAGCCCAUUGCCCAGCUUUGUCUAGCGGCUUACAUUUGCCAAGGCGGAGCGUCGAUCCCACCGAGACAUUCAGCAGCAUUCUGGGUAGCAAGGAUCGACUGCGACCGCACAUGGAAGAGAGGAUAUGCGGUGUGAUGCAGCCCUCUGUUCCCAGUCCUUUGAAGAGGAGUCUGCCAACCCAGGGACGGUCAGGGUUAGGCUGUUGUGGAUUCCCAGAUGAUUAGUAGACUGCGGCCUGCCAGAGGAAGUGCGCAGAGUUCAGGGACGUACUGCGGCCAUCUCCGGCGUUGAAGGUACGGGGUUGGACUGGCCUGGUUGCGUGGAAGAAGAGCAGACCGUCACCAGUAGGCAGCAGUUCUGUGAUGCACUGCGGUCAAUCCCUGAC